UAGCUUUGGCAGCACACAUACUAAAAUUGGAAUGAUACAGAGACAAGCAUGGCCCCUGCACAAAGUGACACACAAAUUCGUGAAAUGUUCCAUAUUUUU
RNAcentral lists this small nuclear RNA (99 nucleotides) under Canis lupus familiaris (dog). The record is from RNAcentral. Lineage: Eukaryota; Metazoa; Chordata; Mammalia; Carnivora; Canidae.